GGAAAAUCAGCAGAUAAAAUUUGGAUUAAAAAUACAAGGCCGUACACUUAAUUUCCUAGCUUAUUCAAAUAUACUGUCGGCACUAAAAAACAGAGCUCAGUGGAAAUAGUGCUGUUAUGAACCUGGCCAACAGGACACUGCUGAACAGCAACGCAGGGGCUGAUAUAUGCAGGGGAACAUGAAGCUGCUUCAAUAGCAGGCCAGGAGGCAACAGAGAGAGCACCUGGGCCACUGCUGAGGCUGAAGGCUUCCCUCCACCCUGCUCAUUUCCAGUCUCUUGAUCAUCCUAGUCUCUGCUACACAUGAGAUGGAUGAAGCGUUUCUAGCACAGAUGAAAAAGAUCAGUCAGAGAGGAGGAAAGAAAGAAAGACAAAGAUUAUGAAGCACUUCAGAGAAUUAAGCACAGGAGUGAACAGCACACUACGUACAGACACGCAUGGAGCAGAAGCAAGGAAGAUGUUCUUCGAUUCAUCUUCUCUUACCAAGAAGAACAACCCCAUGAAAAUGAAUGCUGAGGAGCACAAAGCUGUCAUGGAGCUCAGUGUUGAAGACCAAGAAUCCAUGUUCUUUACAAGCCAGACUUGCACGAGUUAUUCAAAGUGGAUGGACAUUCAGAGAGAAAAAAAUAUCGACCAAAUCUGAGCACUGCCUUCACACAAAGCACUGACAGAAGAGGAGCACAAGCCCAGGCUAAGCCAGGCAGCUGAGCAGCGGGCACCACCUUCUCCUGCCCCCAGGGGCAGCAGCGACAACUCCAGGAGAGGGGAGCAGGGAGCACAAAACAUUGCUCCAGUUAUGAUCUGUCAGCACUAGUGGAUAUUUGCCACCACUUAAAAUCUGCUGUGCUGUCUCACCCAGUUGCUGCACACACACUGGUGGUAGCGUUGAGUAGACUAACAAUUAAUUAAAAACAAACAAAAAAUACAGCAUAUUUCCUCAUGCUUUCAUGAAGAAAUGAGAGUACUGAGAAAAGACGGCACCAAAGAUUAUUCAGCAACCUCCACAGUUUCCUAUUCAAC
Molecule: long non-coding RNA, 1019 nt
Filed under: Anas platyrhynchos platyrhynchos (common mallard)
Lineage: Eukaryota; Metazoa; Chordata; Aves; Anseriformes; Anatidae
Description: lncRNA (ENSAPLG00000023292.1)
Source: RNAcentral